CAAAGAAUAGUUUAAUAAAAUAAUAAUUUUGGAGAUUAUAGAUGAGAAUGAUUUCUUUUCUUUGA
Molecule: transfer RNA, 65 nt
Filed under: Prioneris thestylis
Lineage: Eukaryota; Metazoa; Arthropoda; Insecta; Lepidoptera; Pieridae
Description: tRNA-Pro
Source: RNAcentral